RNAcentral lists this ribosomal RNA (433 nucleotides) under uncultured bacterium. RNAcentral describes it as "partial 16S ribosomal RNA". It matches the Rfam family "Bacterial small subunit ribosomal RNA", at positions 29 to 507 of the family's 1533-position model. The record is from RNAcentral.
AACGAACGCUGGCGGCAUGCCUAACACAUGCAAGUCGAACGAGACCUCCGGGUCUAGUGGCGCACGGGUGCGUAACGCGGGGGAACCUGCCCUUAGGUUCGGAAUAACUCCCCGAAAGGGGUGCUAAUACCGGUUAAUGUCUUCGGACCAAAGAUUUAUCGCUUUUGGAUGGGCCCGCGUUGGGUUAGCCAGUUGGUAGGGUAAAAGCCUACCAAGGCGACGAUCCAUAGCUGGUCUGAGAGGAUGAUCAGCCACACUGGGCCUGAGACACGGCCCAGACUCCUACGGGAGGCAGCAGUGGGGAAUAUUGGACAAUGGGCGAAAGCCUGAUCCAGCAAUGCCGCGUGAGUGAUGAAGGCCUUAGGGUUGUAAAGCUCUUUUACCCGGGAUGAUAAUGACGGUACCGGGAGAAUAAGCUCCGGCUAACUCCGUG